GCUGGGCGUGGUGGCGGGCACCUGUAGUCCCAGCUACUCGGGAAGCUGAGGCAGGAGAAUCACUUGAACCCAGGAGGCCGAGGUUGCAGUGAGCCGAGAUCACGCCACUGCACUCCAGCCUGGGCGACAGAGUGAGACUCUGUCUCAA
RNAcentral lists this small RNA (148 nucleotides) under Macaca fascicularis (crab-eating macaque). RNAcentral describes it as "Metazoan signal recognition particle RNA (ENSMFAG00000056907.1)". Lineage: Eukaryota; Metazoa; Chordata; Mammalia; Primates; Cercopithecidae. The record is from Rfam by way of RNAcentral.